UUACAUUUCUUAUAUUCACUUGUCUUAGAGUUCAGAUUAAAGGCAUAACUUUUCAUGCUUUCAUGAAAAGGUGAUUUCAUGACUCUGAGU
This 90-nucleotide small nucleolar RNA is filed under the name Tupaia belangeri (northern tree shrew). Lineage: Eukaryota; Metazoa; Chordata; Mammalia; Scandentia; Tupaiidae. The record is from RNAcentral.